This 1001-nucleotide long non-coding RNA is filed under the name Serinus canaria (Common canary). RNAcentral's name for it is "lncRNA (ENSSCAG00000011717.1)". Lineage: Eukaryota; Metazoa; Chordata; Aves; Passeriformes; Fringillidae. The record is from RNAcentral.
UGUCAGAGUUGGCCCCUGCAUGUUGAGAGCACCUGAUAUUGUCUCCAUUGAAUUCAGCCCAUGAUGCAGGAGUUGAAGCACUCAGCAGGGAUUUCAAACAACUUGCAGCCUGAGCCCCUGGCUUCAAAACUACUGGCGUGGAACUGCAAUUUAUUGAUCUGGGUCUGUUGAAGCAGAAGGCACUUGCUCUGCUCCUGGGUGCUGCAGGUAUGUCUCAGACUGCCAAAGGCUUUCAGGAAAACUUUAAUGAAUAAUGUUGGGUUUUUUUUGGAUAAUAGAUGGUGAAAAAGGAAAAGGUCUGCAAAAUUUAUCCACAUGAAUCUGCUUUUUACUAGAGCUGACAAGAAUAAUUUUAUUCAUGGCUAAUCCUAAAAGUAGGUAGUGGUACUAGAGUCAGCAGAAUGCUUGCCAAGUUUCCUUUGGAUGUGCCCUCAUUUCAGUAGUGAAUGAGGUGAUCUUUUAAUGAAAAACAGAACACAAGUAAGCAAAUAAUACAGAUUAUUUUCUCCUCCUUCCAACAAGACAGAGUCGUUAUCAUUUGAGAUUGUGAAGUGUUGAGGGAUAGAGUAUGGGUAAAUGAAGGUGGUAUAGAAGGUAAUCUUAUCCCCCAAUGAGUUGCAGCUGGACCAAUUACUAAAGAUUAGAAGCAGGCCUGAUCUUAACAGGCCACACCUGUAGGCAAUUAGAACAAGUGCUAUAAAAGAGUGGAUUGGUGGGAUCUGGAGUGAGAGGAUUGCUGCAAGGAUCAGGAGCAGUCAGUGCUUAGAGGAGCUGCCUGUGAGGAACAUUGAGGAAGUAUGGAGCUCUGGGGAUAUGAAAUCCUUGCACUAUAAUGAUGUUAGAACUCAUGCUAUCUAAGACAACAGUGAAGUGCAUUCACCGCUGGAUUCCUGCUGUGUUAGUGCUAAGGGAGCUGACAAGGCAUUAGCACAGAGACACUGCCCUCUAUUGCUAACUGCUCUGCUACUGCUCUUGCAUCGAUGACACCAAUGCAAAUCUAC